GCAAGUCGAGGGGUAACAGGGAAAAGCUUGCUUUUCCGCUGACGACCGGCGCACGGGUGCGUAACGCGUAUGCAACCUACCUCUUACUGGGGUAUAGCCCAGAGAAAUUUGGAUUAAUCCCCCAUAGUACCAUUUUAUCGCAUGAUGAAAUGGUUAAAGGUUACGGUAAGAGAUGGGCAUGCGUCCCAUUAGUUAGUUGGUGGGGUAACGGCUCACCAAGACUCCGAUGGGUAGGGGUUUGAGAGGAUGAUC
RNAcentral lists this ribosomal RNA (252 nucleotides) under uncultured bacterium. RNAcentral describes it as "partial 16S ribosomal RNA". It matches the Rfam family "Bacterial small subunit ribosomal RNA", at positions 57 to 305 of the family's 1533-position model. The record is from RNAcentral.